This 156-nucleotide ribosomal RNA is filed under the name uncultured Desulfovibrionales bacterium. Its description in RNAcentral is "partial 16S ribosomal RNA". It matches the Rfam family "Bacterial small subunit ribosomal RNA", at positions 329 to 477 of the family's 1533-position model. Lineage: Bacteria; Pseudomonadati; Thermodesulfobacteriota; Desulfovibrionia; Desulfovibrionales. The record is from RNAcentral.
CACGGGGGGCCUACGGGAGGCAGCAGUGGGGAAUAUUGCGCAAUGGGCGAAAGCCUGACGCAGCGACGCCGCGUGAGGGAUGAAGGCCUUCGGGUCGUAAACCUCUGUCAGGAGGGAAGAACCGCCAUGGUGCUAAUCAGCCAUGGUCUGACGGUA